CCUACGGGUGGCAGCAGUGGGGGAUAUUGCACAAUGGGGGGAACCCUGAUGCAGCGACGCCGCGUGGGUGAAGGAGUGCUUCGGCAUGUAAAGCCCUAUCGGCAGGGAAGAAGCAAGACGGUACCUGACUAAGAAGCCCCGGCUAACUACGUGCCAGCAGCCGCGGUAAUACGUAGGGGGCGAGCGUUAUCCGGAUUCACUGGGUGUAAAGGGAGCGUAGACGGCCAUGCAAGCCAGAGGUGAAAGCCCGGGGCGCAACCCCGGGACUGCCGUUGGAACUGUAUGGCUAGAGUGCGGGAGGGGUAGGCGGAAUUCCUGGUGUAGCGGUGAAAUGCGUAGAUAUCAGGAGGAACACCGGUGGCGAAGGCGGCCUGCUGGACCGCGACUGACGUUGAGGCUCGAAAGCGUGGGGAGCGAACAGGAUUAGAUACCCUAGUAGUC
RNAcentral lists this ribosomal RNA (441 nucleotides) under uncultured bacterium. RNAcentral's name for it is "partial 16S ribosomal RNA". It matches the Rfam family "Bacterial small subunit ribosomal RNA", at positions 338 to 795 of the family's 1533-position model. The record is from RNAcentral.